CAGGACAUGGCGUGAAACAUGACAGACAACAGGACAUGGCGUGAAACAUGACAGUACCCCCCCCCCAUGGCGCCUUCCACGGCGCCCACGGAAGCCCCCCCCCAAACCAGGGCGGGCGGAGGGUGGUCCCAGGAGGAGGGACCGAACCCCUACCCCACAAGGCACACGAGCAGGGUGGGUGGAGGGAGGACCGGAGGAGGGCCAAAACAAGAGUCCACACGACACGACAAAAGUCCACGACCAGGAAAAAAACACGAAGUCCAGGGAUUCCCUCACGGAGGGUGACGGCGUGGCGAGAUCCUGCUCAGCAGCCGCUGAGCCAGGGUGGCACUCUUAGUGCCCUUGAGCUGGGCCGAUGUCCCCGAGGGCCACCCCGAAUGGCAACGUCCUCCAGGCGGACGCUGAUCCGAGGGGCUGAGGAGUCGAGGUGGACGUCGCCGCAGGAGGCAGCGCCAUCCACGCAGCAGGAGGCGCCGAGGGCGAGGCCACCAGUCCGGCAGACGAGGCAGGAACCAGCGGCAUCCUCCUUGGACCACCGCGACGAGAGACAGGAACCAGCGGCGCCCUCCUUGGACCACCGCGACGAGAGACAGGAACCAGCGGCGCCCUCCUUGGACCACCGCGACGAGAGACAGGAACCAGCGGCGUCCUCCUUGGACCACCGCGACGAGAGACAGGAACCAGCGGCGUCCUCCUUGGACCACCGCGACGAGAGCCAGGAACCAGCGGCGUCCUCCUUGGACCACCGCGACGAGAGCCAGGAACCAGCGGCGUCCUCCUUGGACCACCGCGACGAGAGCCAGGAACCAGCGGCGUCCUCCUUGGACCACCGCGACGAGAGCCAGGAACCAGCGGCGUCCUCCUUGGACCACCGCGACGAGAGCCAGGAACCAGCGGCGUCCUCCUUGGACCACCGCGACGAGAGCCAGGAACCAGCGGCGUCCUCCUUGGACCACUGCGACGAGAGACAGGUGCAGAUGCGACCGGAGCCGAGCCGCCAGGAACCGAUGCAGGAGCGGCCGGAGCCGGGCCGCCAGGAACCGAUGCAGGAGCGGCCGGAGCCGGGCCGCCAAGAACCGAUGCAGGAGCGGCCGGAGCCGGGCGGCCGGAGCCGGGCCGCCAGGAACCGAUGCAGGUGCAGCGGGAACUAUGACGAGCGCGACCCCCUCCUG
This 1172-nucleotide long non-coding RNA is filed under the name Betta splendens (Siamese fighting fish). RNAcentral's name for it is "lncRNA (ENSBSLG00000005886.1)". Lineage: Eukaryota; Metazoa; Chordata; Actinopteri; Anabantiformes; Osphronemidae. The record is from RNAcentral.